Lingula anatina is the source of this 889-nucleotide long non-coding RNA. RefSeq lists it as uncharacterized. The record is from RefSeq and is a predicted model, not a curated record. NCBI's taxonomy places the organism in Eukaryota, Metazoa, Brachiopoda, Lingulata, Lingulida, Lingulidae.
GACCGUAUCUUCAACUGGGACUUUUUUGGGGACAUCCAAAGCUACGAGAGAGAACGUUACAUCUUUGGUUGCAUUGGCAGAUUACAAACCAACUACUUGUGACUUAAUACAGAUACGGAGAAAAAUAUUACCUUAAAACAUUCCUGUUCUUCAACAUUGAUAAAGAAGACAACAAUCAAAAUGAAGUUUUCCACGACGGCCUUCGUAGUUUGCCUCAUACUAGUCUUAGUCACCAGCAGUUGGGGCGAAAAACCGGCCUGCCCUUGGAAAAAAUCCCCCGUCAAAUGCUGCAUCGACCAGCCGGACGAUGGCUCUAUCUGCGGUUGCUAUCCUCCCCUUGACGAACCUUGGGCCGCUGAUCGCGGCGUGCCCCUGUGCAGCGUCGUUGAGAACCCCCAACAUGACCAGAACACGGCCGUCACGUGUAAAUGGACCACGGAUCAAUACUCGGAAAUGUAUAUGAAUAACAAAUACUUGAACGGCGAAUACUGCUGUCUGUUUGUGGACCAGUGCCGGUGCCUGUCUUAUGACGUGUAUGUGCCGUUCUGGAGGAAAUGUGGAGACUGGUUCCCACAAAUGAUCGUCCAUGGCGGAGAGGUGACAAGGAGUCUCCGGAACAGGGUGAUCUCUGAAUAGCGAGUCCCUCGUCCUGUUAUGAGUAAAGACACUAAGAAAAGCACCUGACGUACAUGAAGAAUGUACAGGACAAUUACUGACACGCACCAAUCGUCUAGAGAAUUAUGGAAGAUUUUCAAUAUCUGAAUAUCUAUUAUCUGUUUAUGUAAGUUUUCACUGUAGCAAAGAAAAAGACAUUGAGCUGCUUUUUGUUAUGUUUUUGACUACCAAAGCAAUCGAUCUCUUUAGUAAUAAAACCAAUAUUUCUCUAAAA